UCUCUCUCUCUCUCUCUCUCUCUCUCUCUCCCAAUAUUAAGGUUCGUUACGGGCUUAGCCCUGGCCCUGGGUUAGGCAACAUGUUCCUCAACGGGUUGUCUUAGGCUAGGCCCAGCUGGAUCGGGCUAAGAAGGCCUCAGUCGAAACCCAGCCCUAAUAGAUCUUAGAUUUGAAAACAUUACUUACGGUAUAAAGAUCUCACACAUGAUAUCUUAUGCCAAAAAAAAAAAAAGAGCAUGUAUCUAUUAUUUUCUAAACCCCUCCCUCUAAUGUGUUUUUUAUCUUCUCCAAAACCCCUCUCUUUCUCUCGCCCAUCUCUCUUUCAUCCAUUCUCGAUAUACUUUUGUUUGGACUAUAAAGGUAGGGCCAGUCCACUUGGGCCCUUGAGCAGCGGUGGCCCGGCCCUCAUGCCACAUACGCUGUCCAUGCCCUAAUUGUUUUUAGACCAGGAUGGAACGUCCAGCCCGUUGCCACCUCACAAAUACCCUCGUUCCAAUCCAAUGAGUCCGUCUGUUUCUUACCCCCUAUUUAUUACCUAAAAAAAAAUGCCAACUCUCUCUCUCUAAAACGAGAGCUCUC
RNAcentral lists this long non-coding RNA (579 nucleotides) under Amborella trichopoda. Its description in RNAcentral is "long non-coding RNA (ATRI_LNC001795)". The record is from RNAcentral. Lineage: Eukaryota; Viridiplantae; Streptophyta; Magnoliopsida; Amborellales; Amborellaceae.